ACACGACUACGAGUUUGUCCUGGCUCAGGAUGAACGCUAGCGGCAGGCCUAAUACAUAGCAAGUCGAACGGAUAUAUGUUUUCGGAAUAUAUAUUAGUGGCGCACGGGUGAGUAACACGUACAUAACUUGCCCUCAAGCGGGGGAUAGCCUUGGGAAACUGAGAGUAAUACCCCAUAGAAUUAUUGGACGGCAUCGUUUGAUAAUUAAAACUACGGUGCUUGGGGAUAGAUGUGCGUCUGAUUAGCUAGUUGGUGAGGUAACUGCUCACCAAGGCGACGAUCAGUAGGGGGCGUGAGAGCGUGGCCCCCCACACGGGUACUGAGACACGGACCCGACUCCUACGGGAGGCAGCAGUAAGGAAUAUUGGUCAAUGGAGGGAACUCUGAACCAGCCAUGCCGCGUGAAGGAUGACGGCCCUCUGGGUUGUAAACUUCUUUUGGAUGGGGCGAAAAACGGGAUUUAUCCUGGACUGACGGUACCAUCAGAAUAAGCACCGGCUAACUCCGUG
This 509-nucleotide ribosomal RNA is filed under the name uncultured bacterium. Its description in RNAcentral is "bacterial SSU rRNA". It matches the Rfam family "Bacterial small subunit ribosomal RNA", at positions 1 to 507 of the family's 1533-position model. The record is from RNAcentral.